RNA transcript from Ipomoea triloba (trilobed morning glory), 1028 nucleotides. It is a transcript of the gene named cytochrome c6, chloroplastic, with no coding region annotated. The transcript is spliced from 7 exons. NCBI's taxonomy places the organism in Eukaryota, Viridiplantae, Streptophyta, Magnoliopsida, Solanales, Convolvulaceae. The record is from RefSeq and is a predicted model, not a curated record.
UCUAACUAUUAAGGGAAAUAGAACCUGUAAAAACUGUAAUUCUUAUCCAAACAUCCCAACAGUCUAAACUGCAAGCAUGCGGGUUUCCUGCGUGCCGCGUUGUUGCGUCAGCACCGCCUGUUCUGUACACCCCACUGAGAAGAGAAAUGUGGGUGAAGGAGGAGAGAACCCAAAUCUCCAAACACCGAAGAGAUCGAGACAAUUGAACCUGCUGAAGAGCUUAGCUCCACCUCUGAUGGCCGCCCUCGUUGCCUUUAAUCCUCUUUUUACUCCCCCAGUGUCACUUGGACAGACAAUAGAUGUACAAAAAGGAGCCUCGUUGUUCAAUCGAGCUUGCAUAGGGUGUCAUACUGCCGGUGGAAAUAUAAUACAACCAGGUGCAACACUCUUCUUGAAGGACCUUCAGAGAAAUGGAGUAGAUACAGAGGAGGAAAUAUACCGAGUAACUUACUAUGGAAAAGGGAGAAUGCCAGGCUUUGGUGAGGAAUGCACGCCAAGAGGCCAAUGUACUUUUGGUCCAAGGUUACAGGAAGACGAGAUUAAAUUGCUAGCAGAGUUUGUGAAGUCACAGGCUGAUCAAGGCUGGCCCGACGGAGAAAGUGGUGGCAACUGAAAAACCUUAUCUCCGUUAGUUCUAUGGAGAAACAGAAACACAUCAACUUGCAAAAGUGGUGGCAAAACUGGGCACAUGGUAGCAUGCACAUUCAUCAAUCAGCUUUGGCACAUUCAUAUGCUGCUGUGAGGAAAGUCAUAUGUGCAGGUGUAGAAUAAACUAUGCAUCCUUAAAAGUUGAAGCUAUUAUGGCAAAAAAAAAAAAAAAAAAAAAAAGUUGAAGCUGCUACUUUUAAGAGACUUGGUUUAGAUAUUGGCUUUGACUUUUAAAGUAGUGAGAUUUGAACUUGAUACUUUUAAGGAAUAGAGGUAUUCUGGUCAGUAAAAUAUUUUAUAUGAUGUGAUUAGUUGAUUGUUGAUCUCUUCAUAAAAUUACCUUUUGAAAUUUAGUCUCAGUUCGCACCGAGCCGGUCCAA